CCCUAGCCCCGAUUGACGUGGAAAUCCUUUGAAAUGAAACAAAGUGGAAUUUCAAAGAUUGGAACAAAAAGCGGGAAACAGC
Molecule: small RNA, 82 nt
Filed under: Flavobacterium caeni
Lineage: Bacteria; Pseudomonadati; Bacteroidota; Flavobacteriia; Flavobacteriales; Flavobacteriaceae
Description: Flavo-1 RNA
Rfam family: Flavo-1 RNA
Source: Rfam by way of RNAcentral